GAUGAACGCUGACAGAAUGCUUAACACAUGCAAGUCCACUUGAACUUCGGUUUGGGUGGCGGACGGGUGAGUAACGCGUAAAGAACUUGCCUCACAGAUAGGGACAACAUUUGGAAACGAAUGCUAAUACCUGAUAUUAUGAUUAUAUGGCAUCGUAUAAUUAUGAAAGCUAUAUGCGCUGUGAGAGAGCUUUGCGUCCCAUUAGCUAGUUGGAGAGGUAACGGCUCACCAAGGCGAUGAUGGGUAGCCGGCCUGAGAGGGUGAUCGGCCACAAGGGGACUGAGACACGGCCCUUACUCCUACGGGAGGCAGCAGUGGGGAAUAUUGGACAAUGGACCAAGAGUAUGAUCCAGCAAUUCUGUGUGAACGAUGAAGUUUUUCGGAAUGUAAAGUGCUUUCAGUUGGGAAGAAAAAAAUGACGGUACCAACAGAAGAAGUGACGGCUAAAUACGUG
Molecule: ribosomal RNA, 454 nt
Filed under: uncultured bacterium
Lineage: Bacteria
Description: partial 16S ribosomal RNA
Rfam family: Bacterial small subunit ribosomal RNA
Source: RNAcentral